UCAACCAUCAAGCUCUGCUUGGCAUUGGGUGUCGACCUCCCCUCACCGGGCGGUCCCGCCUCAAACAGCUCGGCGGUGGCUCAGGGCCUCAAGCGUUAGUAAUACUUCCCGCUUCAGAGAAACUGGGUCGCCUGCCUCUAGAAACCCACAUCUUAA
This 156-nucleotide unclassified non-coding RNA is filed under the name uncultured Phaeococcomyces. Its description in RNAcentral is "sequence contains ITS2". The record is from RNAcentral. Lineage: Eukaryota; Fungi; Ascomycota; Eurotiomycetes; Chaetothyriales; Herpotrichiellaceae.